GCAAGUCGUACGAGAACGCUCUAGCUUGCUCGAGCAAGUACAGUGGCGCACGGGUGAGUAACGCGUGGGUAAUCUACCUUCGAAUUGGGGAUAACGUUGCGAAAGCGACGCUAAUACCGUAUGACAUCCACUUAUCUUCGGAUUUUUGGCUCAAAGGUGGCCUCUACCUGUAAGCUACUGUUUGGGGAUGAGCCCGCGUACCAUUAGCUUGUUGGUGGGGUAACGGCCUACCAAGGCAACGAUGGUUAGCUGGUCUGAGAGGAUGAGC
This 268-nucleotide ribosomal RNA is filed under the name uncultured bacterium. RNAcentral describes it as "partial 16S ribosomal RNA". It matches the Rfam family "Bacterial small subunit ribosomal RNA", at positions 57 to 305 of the family's 1533-position model. The record is from RNAcentral.